UGGGUUGUGGCUCAAUGGUGGAGCGCUUGCCUAGCAUGUGUGAGGCACUGGGUUCAUCCUCAGCACCCCAU
Molecule: transfer RNA, 71 nt
Filed under: Ictidomys tridecemlineatus (thirteen-lined ground squirrel)
Lineage: Eukaryota; Metazoa; Chordata; Mammalia; Rodentia; Sciuridae
Description: Spermophilus tridecemlineatus (thirteen-lined ground squirrel) tRNA
Rfam family: tRNA
About the family: Transfer RNA (tRNA) molecules are approximately 80 nucleotides in length.
Source: Rfam by way of RNAcentral